RNAcentral lists this ribosomal RNA (1355 nucleotides) under uncultured marine eukaryote. RNAcentral describes it as "SSU rRNA". It matches the Rfam family "Eukaryotic small subunit ribosomal RNA", at positions 411 to 1779 of the family's 1831-position model. The record is from RNAcentral.
CACUUCUAAGGAAGGCAGCAGGCGCGCAAAUUACCCAAUCCUGACUCAGGGAGGUAGUGACAAGAAAUAACAAUAAACCGGCUUAUGCCGGUUUAAUUGGAAUGAGUACAAUUUAAACAUCUUAACGAGGAACAAUUGGAGGGCAAGUCUGGUGCCAGCAGCCGCGGUAAUUCCAGCUCCAAUAGCGUAUACUAAAGUUGUUGCAGUUAAAAAGCUCGUAGUUGGAUUUCUGUGGGGACGGAGCGGCCGGCCGCAACUCGCGGUUCGAGCUAGCGCUUUCCCUACAUCCUGCCGCGAACCGUGCUACCAUUAGUUUGGUGGCGCCGGGGAUCGGCUCGAUUACUUUGAGAAAAAUAGAGUGUUCAAAGCAGGCCACAUGCCUUGAAUAAGUUAGCAUGGAAUAAUAACUAAGGACUUCGGUUCUAUUUUGUUGGUGUUCGGGACUGAAGUAAUGAUUGAUAGGGACAGUUGGGGCGGUCUGUAUUCCAAAGCGAGAGGUGAAAUUCUUAGACCUUCGGAAGACAAACAGCUGCGAAAGCGUUCCGCAAGGAUGUUCCCUUUGAUCAAGAACGAAAGUUGGGGGAUCGAAGACGAUCAGAUACCGUCGUAGUCUCAACUAUAAACUAUACCAGCUAGGGAUCGGCCAACGUUAUUUAAACCGACUUGGUCGGCACCUUAUGAGAAAUCAAAGCAUCUGGGUUCCGGGGGGAGUAUGGUCGCAAGGCUGAAACUUAAAGGAAUUGACGGAAGGGCACCACCAGCCGUGGAGCCUGUGGCUUAAUUUGACUCAACACGGGAAAACUUACCAGGUCCAGACAUAGUAAGGAUUGACAGAUUGAUAGCUCUUUCUUGAUUCUGUGGGUGGUGGUGCAUGGCCGUUCUUAGUUGGUGGAGUGAUUUGUCUGGUUAAUUCCGUUAACGAACGAGACCCCAGCCUGCUAAAUAGCGCGUGUGAGCUUUGCUCGCAGCGAGCUUCUUAGAGGGACUAUGAUGCGCGAUAGCACAUGGAAGUUUGGGGCAAUAACAGGUCUGUGAUGCCCUUAGAUGUUCUGGGCCGCACACGGGCUACACUGGCGCCUGCAACGAGCAUAUCAGCUGGCCCGAGAGGGUCUUGGCUAAUCUUUUGAACCGGCGCCGUGCUUGGGAUUGACCUUUGCAAUUGUUGGUCAUGCAACGAGGAAUGCCUUGUAAACGCGAGUCAUCAGCUCGCAUUGAAUACGUCCCUGCCCUUUGUACACACCGCCCGUCGCUCCUACCGAUGAAUGUUCCGAUGAAAUUUCCGGAGAGUGCCUGUGAACUUGGCUCUGCCUUGCGAACGGGAAGCUCAAAGUCACUUAAAUCUGAACAUUUCGAGG